This 541-nucleotide ribosomal RNA is filed under the name uncultured bacterium. RNAcentral's name for it is "partial 16S ribosomal RNA". It matches the Rfam family "Bacterial small subunit ribosomal RNA", at positions 355 to 889 of the family's 1533-position model. The record is from RNAcentral.
UGGGGAAUUUUGGACAAUGGGCGAAAGCCUGAUCCAGCAAUGCCGCGUGUGUGAAGAAGGCCUUCGGGUUGUAAAGCACUUUUGUCCGGAAAGAAAUCCUUGGCUCUAAUACAGUCGGGGGAUGACGGUACCGGAAGAAUAAGCACCGGCUAACUACGUGCCAGCAGCCGCGGUAAUACGUAGGGUGCAAGCGUUAAUCGGAAUUACUGGGCGUAAAGCGUGCGCAGGCGGUUUGCUAAGACCGAUGUGAAAUCCCCGGGCUCAACCUGGGAACUGCAUUGGUGACUGGCAGGCUAGAGUAUGGCAGAGGGGGGUAGAAUUCUACGUGUAGCAGUGAAAUGCGUAGAGAUGUGGAGGAAUACCGAUGGCGAAGGCAGCCCCCUGGGGCCAAUACUGACGCUCAUGCACGAAAGCGUGGGGAGCAAACAGGAUUAGAUACCCUGGUAGUCCACGCCCUAAACGAUGUCAACUAGUUGUUGGGGAUUCAUUCCUUAGUAACGUAGCUAACGCGUGAAGUUGACCGCCUGGGGAGUACGGUCGC